AUGGUUUCUGGCCGUUCUCUGCUGGCUGUGAUCUUCAUUUCUAUUCAGGGAUCCUGUGGAGAGAUUGUGGUGACCCAAUCUCCAGAUUAUAUGUCUGUGUCCCCAGGAGAUACAGUCACCAUCUUAUGUACAGCCAGUUCUGCUAUAGAUGAUGAUUUAUCCUGGUACCAACAGAAGCCAGGACAACGACUAAAGCUUCUAAUUUAUGGUGCAACCACCAGAUAUACAGGAGUCCCAGAGCGGUUCACUGGGACAGGGUAUGACUAUAAAUUCACUCUUACAAUCACAGGAGUGACAGGAGAUGAUAUAGCAGAUUAUUACUGUAUGCAGGAUGAAGCUCUCCCUCUCACACAGUGA
This is a non-coding RNA of Hyla sarda, 357 nucleotides long. The record is from the annotation of a RefSeq genome assembly. NCBI's taxonomy places the organism in Eukaryota, Metazoa, Chordata, Amphibia, Anura, Hylidae.